ACAUAUUUUAAUACUAUAUUUUAAAAAUAUUUCAUUCAAACGCUUAGGUACUUAGCAUUAGUUGCAUGCCACUAUUAAAUGACUUCAUUUGGUGCUGUCACUUGGAGUUGAGGCCAGCGGUGCUUGUUAAUGGAAUGGGUAUACUUAAAUUUGGCCAGACCAGUUUGCUGUCUGUGCAACUUCAGGAAAUUUUGGAAGCACCAGCUGGACAGCGAAGCGAGUGCAAUACGUUGUCGUUUCACAUUGGCUUAAUAGUGUCCAAGUGUUAGUAAAAUUCAGCACUUUGCAUACUUUUCAUAGAUGGCACUGUAUACUGUAAAAUACCAAGUGCGUGUUUCUUCCUUCUUUGGAGGAUUUCAAAUAUGCGGCCACCUGUCUCCUCUAACCAUUUUCACUCAUUUAUACUGUUUAUGCGCCAAACUAAAACAGUUUGUGCAUGUGUGUGUAGCUUAUCAAGAACAAUACAGCAUUACCCAUCCCCCUUCUCUAUCUCCAAAGGACGAAAUGCUGCUGCCAUACUUGCUUUGUUUUUGUUUGAAUGCCUAAGUUUUUUUGCUGUGUACUGCAGGUAGCAAACAGAAGUGCCCUGACGAACUGUGCAGUGCUGACCACACGGUGAGCCAAGCAUCCUAUAAGAGGUGCUUAUUCAGCAUAUGUGGCUAACUCAAAGGAAGCACUUCCCAAAAGCAGUGCUACAAGGAUGUGAGCCACAAGUUCUUUUCAACAAUCGGAUCAGAUGCCUGAAAGCCAUGGGCUGGCUGCCUCUGGCCUACACAGACUGUGCAGUCAUCACAGUAAAGGUCUUGCAAAGGCGUGAGGCAUUCCUAUGUUGCAUAGAACAUUCUACAAAACCGGCCCAAAGGCAGACAGAAGGUAGUACAGAUGGACAGACAUAAGCCAUUGGGCUGCCUCGGAAACUGUGACUUUGCAUUAACCUACAUACAGAAAGGAGCCAAGUGGAGCAUUUCAUGGGCCAUGCACACAGUUUCAUAAGCGGGCUUUCAGCACUUUUGAUAAUUAUGUUUCUGAAUACAUCUGCUAAAGUUGUGUUCAAAAAAGCGUGUAGUAGUGCAUUUCAUCGUUCAUUUGGCAUGCAGUAGCAGGUAUGGCUCACACAUUUGCAAGAUAACGCAGCGCAGUGUAUAUUGCCACCCA
Molecule: long non-coding RNA, 1155 nt
Organism: Rhipicephalus microplus (southern cattle tick)
Lineage: Eukaryota; Metazoa; Arthropoda; Arachnida; Ixodida; Ixodidae
Source: RefSeq, a predicted model, not a curated record